AUCAUGUUGAAACACUGGUUCUCGUACGAUCACCGAAGUUAAGCAGCGUCAAACCCGAUCAGAAUUUAGAUGGGUGACCGCUUGGGAAUACCAGGUGCUGUAA
Molecule: non-coding RNA, 103 nt
Organism: Acanthosepion pharaonis
Lineage: Eukaryota; Metazoa; Mollusca; Cephalopoda; Sepiida; Sepiidae
Source: the annotation of a GenBank genome assembly